GUUUAAGUGUCCCCCCUAUCCUGUUGUGGCUCAAUUUUAGGGCAUCCCUGGCAUUAGAGGGAAUCUGGGGCCGCCAGGUCCUCCAGGAGUAGAGGGGCCACGUGGGCCAGUUGGGUACAAAGGAGAGCAAGGGAGGCCCGGUGUUUCGGGUGAGAGGGGCAUGCCUGGAUUAUCGGGAUCGCCUGGACAACCAGGAGAGAAGGGCUCAGUAGGAUCCCCAGGAACUGCAGGGUUACCAGGGACAAUUGGCCCCAUGGGAGAAAAAGGAAGCGUGGGACCUCCUGGUCCACCUGGUUAUCCAGGAAAGCCUGGCCCACCUGGCAGGGAUGGAAAGGAAGGCUUUCCGGGAGGACCUGGUCAAAAGGUC
RNAcentral lists this long non-coding RNA (367 nucleotides) under Echeneis naucrates (live sharksucker). Its description in RNAcentral is "lncRNA (ENSENLG00000021962.1)". Lineage: Eukaryota; Metazoa; Chordata; Actinopteri; Carangiformes; Echeneidae. The record is from RNAcentral.